Molecule: ribosomal RNA, 497 nt
Filed under: uncultured bacterium
Lineage: Bacteria
Description: partial 16S ribosomal RNA
Rfam family: Bacterial small subunit ribosomal RNA
Source: RNAcentral
GAUGAACGCUGGCGGCGUGCCUAAUACAUGCAAGUCGAGCGAACAGACGAGGAGCUUGCUCCUCUGACGUUAGCGGCGGACGGGUGAGUAACACGUGGAUAACCUACCUAUAAGACUGGGAUAACUUCGGGAAACCGGAGCUAAUACCGGAUAAUAUAUUGAACCGCAUGGUUCAAUAGUGAAAGACGGUUUUGCUGUCACUUAUAGAUGGAUCCGCGCCGCAUUAGCUAGUUGGGAAGGUAACGGCUUACCAAGGCAACGAUGCGUAGCCGACCUGAGAGGGGGGAUGGGCACACGAGAAGUGAGGCACGGUGCAAACUUCUGAGGGGAGCCACAGUCGGGAAUCCUACGGGAGGGGGGAAAGGCGGAUAGAGCAAAGCCGGGGGAAUGAUGAAGGUCCUCCGAUCCGUAAACUCUGUUAUUAGGGAAUAACAAAUGUGUAAGUAACUAUGCACGUCUUGACGGUACCUAAUCAGAAAGCCACGGCUAACUACGUG